This is a long non-coding RNA of Gallus gallus (chicken), 3942 nucleotides long. RefSeq lists it as uncharacterized. The transcript has 3 exons. Lineage: Eukaryota; Metazoa; Chordata; Aves; Galliformes; Phasianidae. The record is from RefSeq and is a predicted model, not a curated record.
AGAGUGCAGCAGGCAGACUGCAGCUGAAUGCUGAAGUCACCAGCUGAGAUGCAGUGUAUCACACACUACCUCUAUCCCUGGAGUGGCUCCCCUAUAGAUACAGACAAGCUGCUCCCAGGUCUCCCUGGAGUCUUCCCUUUUCCAGGCUGAACAGCUCCAGCUCUCUCAGCCUGUCCUCGUAGGAGAGGUGUUCCAUCCCUUGGAUCAUUUUUGUGCUCCUCCUCUGGACAGGCUCCAACAGGUCCAUGUAUCUCCUGCACUGAAGACUCCACAUCUGGAUGCAGUACUUCAGGCAAGGUGUCACCAUCACAGAGUAGAGGAGCAGGAUCACCUCCCUUGACGUGCUGACCAUGGGCCUCUUAAACUCCAUCAAAAAGCCCCACAAUAUGCCAGAAAUGUGUCAGAACUGAGUCAAAUCCACAGGGAGUCAUUAAGGAGGAAAAGUUAUUCCCACUGCUGGCCAGCUUCUUUGUGCUGUGCUGUCAAGCCCUGAGAAGAGAGCACAGGAGUGACUCUGAGGGUGUUGUGCGCUUGUGUUCAUAUGCUACUGCUGUGAAUGCAGUGACAUUUUUCUGGCUUUUUGUCAGCAGUCAGGCAGGUGUUCCUUCCCCCACUUGUUCUUCAUAGUGAGAGAUUUUCUGUCUUGGCCCCACUAAGGGUGUUACUCAUGAAAACUGGAUACCAUCGGACCCAUGUAGGACCAAUCUGGAUUUAAUGCAGCUUUGCCUGUAUACUUUUGCAUCUGUAUUCCGGGAUGACAGCCAUGUUUGUGAAAAACUGAGCAAGCAACAAGAGGAAAAAGAGAAAAUGCUCUCUGAAGAUCAUGUCAAAACUGUGGGCAAUGUCAGUGUCAUUUGAGUAGGGAGGUCAGACAGGCACCUUACCUCCUAACAGAGCAAAUGCAUCAUUUUUAAGAAACUGUCAGUGCUGAUUUGCUGGCAUUAUGGUGUCCUCUGCAUUGCAUGAUUUCCCACACACCUCUGCUCCAAAUAUAUGGUUAUUACAGACUGUGUGCAACCUUUGUGCUGCUUUGAUUCAUUUCAGAAGGCCACUUAGUGUAAAUGCUCAGUAAAGAUGAAGGAAGAGCAUUUGACUUUCAGACAAAGUCUUCAAUUUCCACCACAGGAGGAGGGCACGCCCCACCACGUGGCCCUGGCAGGAUCACAUAUUUUUUGCUGCACCUGGUCUUAGAGAUGAGAAAGAGAUGGGAGGAGUGAUGUUACAGGUGCUUAUCGCAGUUACAUGGUAAGGGUUGUGUUAAAAAACAGGAAAAGACUGCAUAAGCAAACUGUAGAAAGGCCGCAACAGCAUCUGUGUAAGAGAUAAUUCACCCAAUUUGCCCAGCUAAACAACUCUGUCAAGUUAACUGAGGGCUGCAAAAUUGGCAAACUGCCUCAUCUCCUGUGCAGCGGCAGCGUGGGCUUAACCCUUACACUUGCCUGUUGGAAGCACUGAAUUUGCAAACCUCAGGGCAGGAGGGAGAACCUUGUGCAGACUGUUGGUAUUAAUGACAAUUUCCAAUAGAGCAAAAGUAAGUUGGACAGGAAUCCCCUCACCAGCUGCAGACAUGACUGCCUUGGGCACGCCUGGGGUUGCACAGCCUGACGGGGAUGCACCAAGGGAUGUGGUCUAGCAGGAGGUGAGCAUCUGUCCCAGCCUCCAGCCAAGCUCCCUCCUCAACUUCCAUCAGAGCAAAGAACCUGCUUAGAGCUGUGUUUUUCACAGUUUUCAUUGCUUUUUCAUGUUUUAGCAAUAGCAACCACACCUGUUGAUGGAGCCCCUGCCUGGCUGUAAGGGUGUUGAUCUCUCCAGCAACUUUUGCUGGAGAGCAAUACAUUUGCAUACUAUUAUCUUGCUGUUGUGCAUGUGUUUGUGACAGGUAAUUGAUUCCUUAAGUUGCUUCUUUCUGAAGUUUCCCUCAAGAUGUGGCAUACUGAGAAAAAAAGAAACGAAAUUACCCUGUUGUAUGCACAGGCAUAGUGCUGAGCUAGUGAUGUGGGGAGCCCCAGGGAGAGACCAUGUACCUUGCUCACUCUUUGCUUCAGUAGCAAAUGUCUCAGGACUUACCUGGUUUCAGCUGUGCAUGUCUGGAGAUGGGCAAUGAAGCUGUGAAGGGUCUGGAGAAACUUAUGAGGAGCAACUGAGGGAACUGGGAUUGUUCUGCCUGGAGGAGAGGAGGCUCAGGGAAGACAUUAAUUGUCCUCUACAACUCCAUGAAAGGAGGUUGUGAUGAGGUGGGGGGUCAGCCCUUUCUCUCAGGUAGGGGGAGAUAAAACAAGAUGGAAUGGGAGAGACGUGAUCAGAGUGGUCAGAAAGGGCCACCCAACAAGGUGAUGGAGUCACCGUCCCUGGAGGCGUUCAAGAAGCGUGUGAAUGUAGCACUUAGGAAUGUGGUCAGUGAGCAUGAUAGGACUGGAUGACCUUAGUGGCCUUUUCCAACCUUAAUGAUUCUAUGCUUCUAUUCAAUCUAUCUAUUUGGAUCAAAUAUCCUGAUAAGGCCACAUUCAUGAAUGGAGAUAAGAGUCUUCUGCAUCAAGGAGGAAUUCAGUAUUCCUACACAUGUGGGCUGAACAACAGGCAGGUGUGUAAUCUGCGAUGUAGUCUGAAUUACAACUAAUCCCUCUUCAAAAUGAUAUCAGGAAAAAAAAAAUAUGUGAUACCAGUAAACAUCUUAGGAAGCUAAACAAUGGAAGAAGUUGGCAGGAUUAGGCUCACAUAGGAGAUUACGGUGGCAAAAGGGAAAUGACUGUAAAACGCUGACAUGGGAGAUAAAGUGCAAGUGAGAAUGGCAUUCACCCAAGGUCAUGUUUUUAGAAGGAAACAGAUGAACUGGAUGUGUGGCAUUUGUUCAAGAGAGCCUUUAAAUAAUGUGAUGCUGGAUGCCCUCUUACUAAGGCAGUACAGAAGAAGCAAUAGUUAAAUCAGACAUGUACAUGCGACAAAUGACAAAUGGGUUUUGUCAUGCUCCAGAAGCAACCUAAGAAUGGGAGAAUUUAAAUAUCUUCUCAAGAAAAGUGAAGUCUGAUAUAUUUUUAAAAGCAGAAGCUUCCUUUAACAAUAUGCUCAUGAAAAUCCAGAGUGCUACUGCCAGCACCAAAUUAUUCUCAUUGCAGGAAUGGGCUGCGUUGGAGUAAGCACAGGUAUUUUUAACAUGUUGAUGGUUAGCAGGGGGUAGACAUAUCCUAUGAGAAGAAUGAGUAAAGCUAUCUCAGGGUUUAUGAUAUAAUCCUGGGCAUGGAAACUAUGGUGUGCCUUCCAGCUGCACUGCGUAGGUCCUUAAUCAGUUUCAGUACCUUGUUACAGGAUGCAGACUUCAGCACUGCUUUGGCCCCUCGCAGUGUGACAAGUGAGCAUCAAGGUGUACCCUUCAACAUGGUGAGACGACACACUGUUGGGUGUAAAAAGGUUUUUAAAAAGGCAGCAUAAUGACAACACUUGGAACGAGACUUAGCUUUUCUUGUGGCUGAAGCCCUGUGUGUUCCUACCCUUUGUCAAAUAGCCGUGGAAAAAAAGUACAACAGUAAUUAAUAGUUACUAAUAAAUACCAUUAUUACUAAUAAUUAUUAUUGAUAGAUGCUUUUUGUUAGAAGAAUUGAAAAGGAAAACAAAGCAACUUGAUGCAUCUGGAAGGUAAAUUAUUAAGUAAUGCUCUCCAGAUAGCUUGAGUUUUAUUUUUAUUUUCUUCAUUUUAAAAGGAUUUUUGUUAGAAGCGUGCUGGAUUGCUGUGACCAUAGACAGCUCAGAUGAGAGGCUGCUAGUAGGAAGAACUGUCAUGUGCUGGUCAUCCAUGGCAGAGCAGCUCCUCUAAGUGAGCUGAUGGGAGGGAAAGAGGAAAUGUGCUAUAAACUACUUGUGCCUGUAGGAAUAAAGUGGAAAUUGCAAUGUGCACUGGUACUGUGAGCUCAGAUGCUUUUCUUCCUUGCUUCUAAUAAAGCAAAAUUA